RNAcentral lists this unclassified non-coding RNA (21 nucleotides) under Mus musculus (house mouse). Its description in RNAcentral is "oocyte_clustered_small_RNA11461". The record is from RNAcentral. Lineage: Eukaryota; Metazoa; Chordata; Mammalia; Rodentia; Muridae.
GGUGAGAUAGGCAGUAACUGG